GGAUUCCCCUAGUAACUGCGAGUGAAGCGGGAAAAGCUCAAAUUUAAAAUCCCUUACGGGAGUUGUAAUCUAGAGAAGUGUUUUCGGUUGUUACUUCGAACAAGUUCCUUGGAACAGGACGUCAUAGAGGGUGAGAAUCCCGUACUUGUCGAAAUCCUAAUAACUAUGUGAUACACUCUCGAAGAGUCGAGUUGUUUGGGAAUGCAGCUCAAAAUGGGUGGUAAACUCCAUCUAAAGCUAAAUAUUGGCGAGAGACCGAUAGCGAACAAGUACCGUGAGGGAAAGAUGAAAAGCACUUUGGAAAGAGAGUUAAACAGUACGUGAAAUUGUUGAAAGGGAAGCGCUUGAAGUCAGUCGCGUCUCAGACACUCAGCCUCACGGCGCAUUUGUCUUUGACGGGUCAACAUCAAUUUUGACCGCGGGAAAAGGGUUUGAGGAAUGUGGCUGCCUCGGCAGUGUUAUAGCCUCUUGCCGUACACCGCGGUUGGGAUUGAGGUCUGCUAAUACAGGAUGUUGACGAAAUGGCUUUAAGCGACCCGUCUUGAAACACGGACCAAGGAGUCUAACAUGUCUGCGAGUGUUUGGGUGUCAAACCCAUGCGCGCAAUGAAAGUAAACGUAGGUCAGAGGCUUCGGCCGCAUGAUCGACCGAUCCGGAUCUUUAGUGAUGGAUUUGAGUAAGAGCAUAUAUGUUGGGACCCGAAAGAUGGUGAACUAUGCCUGAAUAGGGCGAAGCCAGAGGAAACUCUGGUGGAGGCUCGUAGCGAUUCUGACGUGCAAAUCGAUCGUCAAAUUUGGGUAUAGGGGCGAAAGACUAAUCGAACCAUCUA
RNAcentral lists this ribosomal RNA (829 nucleotides) under Dacrymyces stenosporus. Its description in RNAcentral is "eukaryotic LSU rRNA". It matches the Rfam family "Eukaryotic large subunit ribosomal RNA", at positions 72 to 946 of the family's 3401-position model. The record is from RNAcentral. Lineage: Eukaryota; Fungi; Basidiomycota; Dacrymycetes; Dacrymycetales; Dacrymycetaceae.